CAACUUUUGACAACGGAUCUCUUGGCUCUCGCAACGAUGAAGAACGCAGCGAAAUGCGAUACGUAAUGUGAAUUGCAGAAUUCCGUGAAUCAUCAAAUCUUUGAACGCACAUUGCACUCCUUUGGAGUAUGCCUGUUUGAGUAUCUAUA
This 149-nucleotide ribosomal RNA is filed under the name Rhizophydium sp. JEL316. RNAcentral's name for it is "5.8S ribosomal RNA". It matches the Rfam family "5.8S ribosomal RNA". Rfam says of the family: 5.8S ribosomal RNA (5.8S rRNA) is a component of the large subunit of the eukaryotic ribosome. It is transcribed by RNA polymerase I as part of the 45S precursor that also contains 18S and 28S rRNA. Lineage: Eukaryota; Fungi; Chytridiomycota; Chytridiomycetes; Rhizophydiales; Rhizophydiaceae. The record is from RNAcentral.